AUUGAACGCUGGCGGCAGGCCUAACACAUGCAAGUCGAACGGUAACAGGAAACAGCUUGCUGUUUCGCUGACGAGUGGCGGACGGGUGAGUAAUGUCUGGGAAACUGCCUGAUUUAGGGGGAUAACUACUGACAACGGUUGCUACUACCGCAUAACGUCGCAAGACCAAAGAGGGGGACCCUCGGGCCUCUUGCCAUCGUAUGUGCCCAGAUGGGAUUAGCUUGUUGGUGGGUUAACGUCUCACCAAGGCGACGAUGCCUAGCUGGUCUGAGAGGAUGACCAGCCACACAGGAACUGAGACACAGUCCAGACUCCUACGGGAGGCAGCAGUGGGGAAUAUUGCACAAGGGGCGCAAGCCUGAUGCAGCCAGGCCGCGUGUAUGAAGAAGGCCUUCGGGUUGUAAAGUACUUUCAGCGGGGAGGAAGGGAGUAAAGUUAAUACCUUUGCUCAUUGACGUUACCCGCAGAAGAAGCACCGGCUAACUCCGU
Molecule: ribosomal RNA, 489 nt
Filed under: uncultured bacterium
Lineage: Bacteria
Description: partial 16S ribosomal RNA
Rfam family: Bacterial small subunit ribosomal RNA
Source: RNAcentral